UACGUAGGGGGCUAGCGUUGUCCGGAAUCAUUGGGCGUAAAGCGCGUGUAGGCGGUCCGGUAAGUCCGCUGUGAAAGUCAAGGGCUCAACCCUUGAAUGCCGGCCGAUACUGUCGGGCUAGAGUCCGGAAGAGGCGAGUGGAAUUCCUGGUGUAGCGGUGAAAUGCGCAGAUAUCAGGAGGAACACCAAUGGCGAAGGCAGCUCGCUGGGACGGUACUGACGCUGAGACGCGAAAGCGUGGGGAGCAAACAGG
This 253-nucleotide ribosomal RNA is filed under the name uncultured bacterium. RNAcentral describes it as "partial 16S ribosomal RNA". It matches the Rfam family "Bacterial small subunit ribosomal RNA", at positions 524 to 776 of the family's 1533-position model. The record is from RNAcentral.